CCUACGGGUGGCAGCAGUGGGGAAUAUUGCACAAUGGGCGAAAGCCUGAUGCAGCAACGCCGCGUGAGCGAUGAAGGCCUUCGGGUCGUAAAGCUCUGUCCGCAAGGAAGAGAAUGACGGUACGUGAGGAGGAAGCCCCGGCUAACUACGUGCCAGCAGCCGCGGUAAUACGUAGGGGGCUAGAGUUAUCCGGAAUUACUGGGCGUAAAGGGGGCGUAGGUGGUUUCGGAAGUCAGAGGUGAAAGGCUACGGCUCAACCGUAGGCAGCCUUUGAAACGGGGAAACUUGAGUGCAUGCGAGGCGAGUGGCAUUCCUAGUGUAGCGGUGACAUGCGUAGCUAUUAGGCGGCACACCAGUUGCGAAGGCGGCUCUCUGGACUGUACCUGCCACUGAGGCACG
Molecule: ribosomal RNA, 399 nt
Filed under: uncultured bacterium
Lineage: Bacteria
Description: partial 16S ribosomal RNA
Rfam family: Bacterial small subunit ribosomal RNA
Source: RNAcentral